Molecule: ribosomal RNA, 433 nt
Filed under: uncultured bacterium
Lineage: Bacteria
Description: partial 16S ribosomal RNA
Rfam family: Bacterial small subunit ribosomal RNA
Source: RNAcentral
AACGAACGCUGGCGGCAUGCCUAACACAUGCAAGUCGAACGAGACCUUCGGGUCUAGUGGCGCACGGGUGCGUAACGCGUGGGAACCUGCCCUUAGGUUCGGAAUAACUCCCCGAAAGGGGUGCUAAUACCGGACAAUGUCUUCGGACCAAAGAUUUAUCGCCUUUGGAUGGGCCCGCGUUGGAUUAGCUAGUUGGUAGGGUAAAAGCCUACCAAGGCGACGAUCCAUAGCUGGUCUGAGAGGAUGAUCAGCCACACUGGGACUGAGACACGGCCCAGACUCCUACGGGAGGCAGCAGUGGGGAAUAUUGGACAAUGGGCGAAAGCCUGAUCCAGCAAUGCCGCGUGAGUGAUGAAGGCCUUAGGGUUGUAAAGCUCUUUUACCCGGGAUGAUAAAGACAGUACCGGGAGAAUAAGCUCCGGCUAACUCCGUG